GUCGAAUGGGAUACCUAAACAUUCCAUGGCAGACUGCUCAGUAACACAUGAUCAACUUACCCUAUGGAGAGAAAUAACCUCGGGAAACUGAGGAUAAUAUCUCAUAGUUGAAAAGGCUUGGAAAAGUUUUUCAAUUAAAGGGAUAAGAAAAAUGGUUCUUAUUUGCCAUAGGAUAGGAUCAUGGUCGAUUAUGGUAGUUGGCGAGGUAAUGGCUCACCAAGCUGAUAAUCGAUAGGGGCCGUGAGAGCGGGAGCCCCGAGAUGGGUACUGAGACAACGACCCAGGCCUUACGAGGCGCAGCAGGCGCUAAACCUCCGCAAUACACGAAAGUGUGACGGGGUUACCCAAAGUGUCCAUCUUUGGACUGUGGUAGGUGAGUAAUGUCCCCUACUAGAAAGGAGAGGGCAAGGCUGGUGCCAGCCGCCGCGGUAAAACCAGCUCUUCAAGUGGUCGGGAUAAUUAUUGGCUUAAAGUGUCCGUAGCCGGAUUAGUAAGUUCCUGGUAAAAUCGGGUAGCUUAACUAUCUGUAUGCUAGGAAUACUGCUAUUCU
RNAcentral lists this ribosomal RNA (550 nucleotides) under uncultured archaeon. RNAcentral describes it as "bacterial SSU rRNA". It matches the Rfam family "Archaeal small subunit ribosomal RNA", at positions 57 to 593 of the family's 1478-position model. The record is from RNAcentral.